Molecule: ribosomal RNA, 468 nt
Filed under: uncultured bacterium
Lineage: Bacteria
Description: partial 16S ribosomal RNA
Rfam family: Bacterial small subunit ribosomal RNA
Source: RNAcentral
GACGAACGCUGGCGGCGUGCUUAACACAUGCAAGUCGAACGGAAAGGCCCUGCUUUUGUGGGGUGCUCGAGUGGCGAACGGGUGAGUAACACGUGAGUAACCUGCCCUUGACUUUGGGAUAACUUCAGGAAACUGGGGCUAAUACCGGAUAGGAGCUCCUGCUGCGUGGUGGGAGUUGGAAAGUUUCGGCGGUUGGGGAUGGACUCGCGGCUUAUCAGCUUGUUGGUGGGGUAGUGGCUUACCAAGGCUUUGACGGGUAGCCGGCCUGAGAGGGUGACCGGCCACAUUGGGACUGAGAUACGGCCCAGACUCCUACGGGAGGCAGCAGUGGGGAAUAUUGCACAAUGGGCGGAAGCCUGAUGCAGCAACGCCGCGUGCGGGAUGACGGCCUUCGGGUUGUAAACCGCUUUCGCCUGUGACGAAGCGUGAGUGACGGUAAUGGGUAAAGAAGCACCGGCUAACUACGUG